This 1470-nucleotide ribosomal RNA is filed under the name uncultured bacterium. Its description in RNAcentral is "bacterial SSU rRNA". It matches the Rfam family "Bacterial small subunit ribosomal RNA". The record is from RNAcentral.
AUUGAACGCUGGCGGUAUGCUUAACACAUGCAAGUCGAACGGCAGCACGGGGAGCUUGCUCCCUGGUGGCGAGUGGCGGACGGGUGAGUAACGCGUAGGAAUCUGCCUUGUAGUGGGGGAUAACUCGAGGAAACUCGAGCUAAUACCGCAUAAUCUCUACGGAGAAAAGGAGGGGCCCGGGAAACCGGCCUUUCGCUAUAAGAGGAGCCUGCGUUGGAUUAGUUAGUUGGUAGGGUAAAGGCCUACCAAGGCAGAGAUCCAUAGCUGGUCUGAGAGGAUGAUCAGCCACACUGGGGCUGAGACACGGCCCAGACUCCUACGGGAGGCAGCAGUGGGGAAUAUUGGACAAUGGGGGAAACCCUGAUCCAGCAAUACCGCGUGUGUGAAGAAGGCCUGAGGGUUGUAAAGCACUUUCAGUAGUGAGGAACGGCUCUGCCUUAAUAAGGUAGAGAGAUGACGUUAACUACAGAAGAAGCACCGGCUAACUCUGUGCCAGCAGCCGCGGUAAUACAGAGGGUGCAAGCGUUAAUCGGAAUUACUGGGCGUAAAGGGCGCGUAGGCGGUAAAUUAAGUGGGUUGUAAAAGUCCCGGGCUUAACCUGGGAAAGUCAAUCGAUACUGAUUUACUAGAGUAUGAGAGAGGGAAGUGGAAUUUCCGGUGUAGCGGUGAAAUGCGUAGAUAUCGGAAGGAACACCAGUGGCGAAGGCGACUUCCUGGCUUAAUACUGACGCUGAGGCGCGAAAGCGUGGGUAGCGAACAGGAUUAGAUACCCUGGUAGUCCACGCUGUAAACGAUGAGGACUAAACGUUUGCUGUCGUAUGAUGGUGAGUGUUGAAGCUAACGCAUUAAGUCCUCCGCCUGGGGAGUACGGUCGCAAGAUUAAAACUCAAAGGAAUUGACGGGGGCCCGCACAAGCGGUGGAGCAUGUGGUUUAAUUCGAUGCAACGCGAAAAACCUUACCUACCCUUGACAUUUUUGGAAUUCUACUGAGAAGUGGAAGUGCCCGCGAGGGAACCAAAGGACAGGUGCUGCAUGGCUGUCGUCAGCUCGUGUCGUGAGAUGUUGGGUUAAGUCCCGUAACGAGCGCAACCCUUAUCCUUAGUUGCCAUCAAGUAAAGUUGGGAACUCUAAGGAGACUGCCGGUGAUAAGCCGGAGGAAGGUGGGGACGACGUCAAGUCAUCAUGGCCCUUAUGGGUAGGGCUACACACGUGCUACAAUGGUGAGUACAGAGGGCAGCGAAUCUGCGAAGAGGAGCGAACCCUUUAAAGCUUAUCGUAGUCCGGAUUGGAGUCUGGAACUCGACUCCAUGAAGUCGGAAUCGCUAGUAAUCGCGAAUCAGCAUGUCGCGGUGAAUACGUUCCCGGGCCUUGUACACACCGCCCGUCACACCAUGGGAGUAGGCUGUACCAGAAGUGGGUAGACUAACCUUCGGGGGGUCGCUUACCACGGUAUGGUUUAUGACUGGGGUG